GCUGGCUGGACCCCUGGUCUGUUCACUUUCUCUGUGUAGAAGGGAGAGCCCAUUGCACACAGCCUGCCUUCCUGUUGGUGGACAGGGCCAUUCAGAAGCAAGGCCACCCAGGGAGGAGAGAACUAGACCAGCAGUAGGAUCUUCUGUGGAGGGAGCAUUUCUAUUCUCUCUCCUAGGCUGUGAAAGUCUCCUGCCUGUCUUUGCAUACACUCUGCCCUCCUGCUCCUGAGUUAUAAUCUCCUUUGCCACCAGUUACCUUUUCAAGACCCAGAUCUGGUCAUUGCAAGAUACACAUCCACCACCGUCACCCCAGCCUCCAAUCCUUCAGAGGCCUCCCAGUGUUCUGGGAAGAACCAAACUCAAGUGCGUGGGACUGAGUAUGGUCUGGCCCUGGCUGCCCUCCCCAGCCUUAAGCCAUCACCUAACAGGACUGGCCUUUCCAACCACCAUGCUCCCUCCUGUGAAAAGUCUUCUGGACGCACUGUUCCCUCUGCCUGGGACACUCUUCUGUCCCCCUUUCCCCGCUUUAGCUCUUGCUCAAGGGCUGUUUCCUCAGGGAGGUCUUCUCUAACACCUCUGACCAGGUCAGAUAUCUCUAGUGCAAGUUCUCCUGGCUCCUUGGCCUGAUCUUUCGCGGCACAGAACAACAGUGCAAUUAACAUUUAUUUGCGUCAGUAUUUGGUUAGUUGUGAGCUCCAUGUGGGCAAGGGCAGUGAGUGCUUUUGCUCACCAUUAUAUCCCUAGACAUCCUGGCUCAGUAAGUAUUUGUUGAAUGAAUGAAUGUUAGUCACUUUACUCAAGCUUGGUAAUUCAUGCAUUCAGUCAACAGAACCCAAACAUUGAACACCCAUGGUUCCCUACCUACACUUGAACAUGAGAAUCAGAGCACCCUUUCCUUCUGGACAGUGUAGGGAACACCAUGACGUUGUCUUAUUAAUUAGCUCACCUUCUUUGCUUCAAGCAGACUUUUACUACGAUAUUAUCUCACCCAAGAUACAAUUAAUUGGGUGAAACUGGGACUCAGGCUUGAAAUCUGCCCUAUGAUAACAUUCUAAGUACUCACAGUUUUCAAAGCACCUUCUACAUUCCUUCCUUAAGAUACAAUGAUGACUCUGAAGUUUGCCGAGUGGAUCCUACAGAUUAUGGACUGAGAUUCCAAGAUAGGAAGAAAUGUGCUCAAGGUCCCAUGGCUUGUGAGGCUCUAAUCGCACCAAGAACAUGUUUAUUUUUAAGUUCAUACCCAAAUUGUGGGGGGACACACCUAGUCUGAGGCUCAAAGCCUAACAUGCACUCACUAUUACAGGUUCUAGCAUUUGUCUCACUUCUAAAAGUUUCGGUUCUAUAAUUUUCUGAUUAAUUUGUAAUUACUAUAAGGACCAAGGGGAGGUGGCCUACUUGUGAGUGACAUCUCCUUAACAGGUCACUGCAAAAUCUGAUGCCCUAGGGGUGUGUUCCAAAAUUGGGUCCUGUUCACACAUCAUUCUGUAGAAUGACUUAGUUAAUCCCUCUGUGUCUGUCCACUCCUUUCUUUCAAUUUCUGUAACAACUUAGAUGUCUUCCAAAGGAUUGACAGUGAAAAACUGACCCUCUCCUGAGGUGCUUUGGUAAAAAUGCAGUUUUUGAUUCAACAGACUCAAGAAGAGCUAUAGCAGAGAGUGAGAUGUGGCAUUUCCAACAAGCCCCCUUCAGAAGUCCGAUGUUGGUGGCCCCCAGACCACACUUUUGAAGACAAAGGUAUUAGAAAAAAAAAUGUUUUAACCCUGGAAGAAUAUUACAUGGAGUUGAGAUAGUCUCCUCAAACUGAAAAAUGUUUUAAUUUUACUCGUUAAUUUUCUAUUCACCUCCCAUAGUUGUAGUUGCAUGUUAUUUUGUGAUGGAUGCUAUUGCUUCCAUAUUGAAAACUUUUUAAUGAAUCGAAUGUUUUAUCCUCGUAGGAAAGCACUCCUUAAUUAAAGUUAACCAAAUUCUGGGUGUAAAUAGGCAUUUCAGGAUUUGCUUUCACUGUGGCAGAAAAAAAUAAUGACUCUACAGCUUUUGGAAACAUUUCAAUAUUCUGACCAACAUUGGUGGCUGAAUAAUAGGUGGGGCUGAGGAGUCAGAGUAUAACUGGGGGUCCCUUGCACUCAAACCAUCUAUGAUCCAACAGGGAAUGCUGUUUCUUCAGGCGUCACAGAUCAAAUAUCAGAAGGAGACUAAAAGACUCAAAAUGAGUAAGGGAGUCUUUAAUAUUCAGAUUGUACAGGAGCAGCAAUAGUCACCAACAAGAGUGGAGGAGAUGUAAGACUACCCGGUCUGCUGAAUCCGGAGGAAGAGAACAAAGAUCUAGCUUCACGGUAGCUACGUUGAUGACCAUUCCCAUGAGUCCUUGUUAUUGACUUUAUUUAUGCUUUAAGUUGGCUUCAAGGCUUCUUCCAUCAUAAGGUCAGAGUUGGCCAUCUCUUAACCUCAAGAGAGAUAUCCUUCAGUCCCCAAAGUGCCGUUGUCUUAAAAGUGACCACAAUCAAAAUUAUGGGGAUUGCAUUUCUAGGCGCUGCUCUGGUGCCUUCCAGUUUGAGAGCAAUCCUUUAAUGGAAAAACCUGUGUCUGCUAAACUGGGACAAAUGGAGAUUGUCUUUUCCCUCAGUUGCCUCCUGGAAUGGCACCUAGGAGGAUGGCAGAGCUAUGUCUAAUGGAAAAGGGAGUCUGGCUCCACAUGUUGGGAUGAAAAGAAAGAUGAGCUAUUAAGUAAUCCUCUCUGUUUCUGUAGCAAGCUCUGAACUCUAGGCCUACAUCUCUCUCAAAGCAAUUAUGUGAGCUCUCCUAAUAGGCUUCCCACUCCUGCCCUCCUCCAAGCUACUUAACACAAUGAUUUCUGAUCAAUAUUCCCAUACAUCAAUGCUCACAUGAUGCUCUUGCUGAAAACACUCAGUGGCUGCCCAUUGCCCACAGAAUAGGGUACAACAUUUUAUCCGGUAUUUAAGGCACUCUGCACAUGACCUUAACUUGUUUAUCCAAACUUAUCUCUCACUCCUCCUCAACGUAAGCCCAUCACUCAAGCCAAAUUAUCUUAAUGCUUCCAAGUUAGUUAAUGGCUCCAUGCUUCCAUUUCCUCAAUGUGGACCAAAAUAAUAACUUAUCUUAUUGGGUUAUUGUGAAUUAGGUGAGUUAAUAAAUUAUAAGAUGCCUAGGACAAUGCCUGGCACACGGAAAGGGCCUGUAAUGGGGUGGAUGGUGGCCCUCCAGAAGAUGUGCCUGUGUCCUAAUUCCUGGCAACUGCGAAUGUUACCUUAUUUGGAAAAGGGAUCCUUUGAAGGUGUAAUUAAGGAUCUUGAGAUGAAAAGAUCAUCCUGGAUUAUCUGAAUCCGGCCCUGAAUCCAAUGACAAAUAUACUAAUAAGAGACACAUGGGGUGACUAGACAAAACAGAAGAUCAUGUGAGGGUGGAGACAGAUUGCUAAGGAAUGCCAAUAGCCACCAGAUGCUGGAAGAGGCAAGACAAGAAAUCUCCUCUAGAGCACGGUUUUGCCACCACCUUGAUUUCAGACUUCUGCCUUCAUAAGUGUGAGAGAAUAAAUUUCUGUCAUGUUAAGCCACUAUGUUUGUGGUAAUUUGUUAUGGCAGCCACAGGAAACAUAUAUGGGGCCCAUUAUAUCCUGGCCAUUACUGUCACCAAUUAAUCCCUAAAUGUGCCUUUUCUUUUUCCUCUCAGCAUCAUUUUUUAUCUCACUGUUCUCUUUAAGUGUCUAGCAUAGUACCUUGCAAUUAGAAAACAGAAUAGGUAUGUAUUGAACAAAAUAUAUAUUAAAAGAGAGAAAGAGGGAUGCUUGGGUGGCUCAGCAAUUGAGCUCUGCCUUUGGCUCAGGGCAUGAUCCUGGAGUCCUGGGAUCAAGUCCCACAUUGGGCUCCCUGCAUGGAGCUUGCUUCUCUCUCUGCCUGUGUCUCUGCUUCUCUCUCUGU
Molecule: long non-coding RNA, 3935 nt
Filed under: Canis lupus familiaris (dog)
Lineage: Eukaryota; Metazoa; Chordata; Mammalia; Carnivora; Canidae
Description: lncRNA (ENSCAFG00000058671.1)
Source: RNAcentral